RNAcentral lists this ribosomal RNA (253 nucleotides) under uncultured bacterium. RNAcentral's name for it is "partial 16S ribosomal RNA". It matches the Rfam family "Bacterial small subunit ribosomal RNA", at positions 524 to 776 of the family's 1533-position model. The record is from RNAcentral.
UACGUAGGUGACUAGCGUUGUCCGGAUUUACCGGGCGUAAAGAGCGCGCAGGCGGUCGUUCAAGUCGAGUGUGAAAGCCCCCGGCUCAACUGGGGAGGGUCAUUCGAUACUGAUCGACUCGAAGGCAGGAGAGGGAAGCGGAAUUCCCGGUGUAGUGGUGAAAUGCGUAGAUAUCGGGAGGAACACCAGUGGCGAAGGCGGCUUCCUGGCCUGUUCUUGACGCUGAGGCGCGAAAGCUAGGGGAGCAAACGGG